GACGAACGCUGGCGGCGUGCUUAACACAUGCAAGUCGAACGGAAAGGCCCUGCUUUUGUGGGGUGCUCGAGUGGCGAACGGGUGAGUAACACGCGAGUAACCUGCCCUUGACUUUGGGAUAACUUCAGGAAACUGGGGCGCAUAUCGGAUAGGAGAUCCUGCUGCAUGGUGGGGGUUGGAAAGUUUCGGCGGUUGGGGAUGGACUCGCGGGUUAUCAGCUUGUUGGUGAAGUAGUGGCGUCCCAAGGUUUUGACGGGUAGGCGGCCUGAGAGGGUGGCCGGCCACAUUGGGACUAAGAUACGGCCCAGACUCCUACGGGAGGCAGCAGUGGAGAGUAUGACGGAAUAAGCGGAAGCCUGAUGCAGCAGCGCCGCGUGCGGAAUAACGGCCUUCGGGUUAUAAACCGCUUUCGCCUGUGACGAAGCGUGAGUGACGGUAAUGAGUCAAGAAGCACCGGCUAACUACGUG
This 468-nucleotide ribosomal RNA is filed under the name uncultured bacterium. RNAcentral describes it as "partial 16S ribosomal RNA". It matches the Rfam family "Bacterial small subunit ribosomal RNA", at positions 28 to 507 of the family's 1533-position model. The record is from RNAcentral.